Molecule: non-coding RNA, 73 nt
Filed under: Alexandrium minutum
Lineage: Eukaryota; Dinophyceae; Gonyaulacales; Pyrocystaceae
Source: RNAcentral
CCUCGACCAGAGAAGCGGCCUCGCAGCAGUCAGCGCCAUGACGACCUUGAGCAAACGGCUUCCCUUGUUGGCG